This 497-nucleotide ribosomal RNA is filed under the name uncultured bacterium. RNAcentral's name for it is "partial 16S ribosomal RNA". It matches the Rfam family "Bacterial small subunit ribosomal RNA", at positions 28 to 507 of the family's 1533-position model. The record is from RNAcentral.
GAUGAACGCUGGCGGCGUGCCUAAUACAUGCAAGUCGAGCGAACAGACGAGGAGCUUGCUCCUUCGACGUUAGCGGCGGACGGGUGAGUAACACGUAGGUAACCUACCUAUAAGACUGGGAUAACUUCGGGAAACCGGAGCUAAUACCGGAUAAUAUUUCGAACCGCAUGGUUCGAUAGUGAAAGAUGGCUUUGCUAUCACUUAUAGAUGGACCUGCGCCGUAUUAGCUAGUUGGUAAGGUAACGGCUUACCAAGGCAACGAUACGUAGCCGACCUGAGAGGGGGAUCGGCCACACUGGAACUGAGACACGGUCCAGAAUCCUACGGGAGGCAGCAGUAGGGAAUCUUCCGCAAUGGGCGAAAGCCUGACGGAGCAACGCCGCGUGAGUGAUGAAGGUCUUCGGAUCGUAAAACUCUGUUAUUAGGGAAGAACAAACGUGUAAGUAACUGUGCACGUCUUGACGGUACCUAAUCAGAAAGCCACGGCUAACUACGUG